UGCAUGGUUGUCGUCAGCUCGUGUCGUGAGAUGUUGGGGUUAAGUCCCGCAAACGAGCGCAAACCCCUAUUAUUAGUUGCCAGCAUUAGUUGGGCACUCUAGUGAGACUGCCGUUGACAAAACGGAGGAAGGUGGGGACGACGUCAAAUCAUCAUGCCCCUUAUGUCCUGGGCUACACACGUACUACAAUGGCAACAACAGAGGGCAGCCAGGCCGCGAGGUUGAGCGAAUCCCAAAAUGUUGUCUCAGUUCAGAUUGCAGGCUGCAACUCGCCUGCAUGAAGUCGGAAUUGCUAGUAAUGGCAGGUCAGCAUACUGCCGUGAAUACGUUCCCGGGCCUU
This 340-nucleotide ribosomal RNA is filed under the name uncultured Fastidiosipila sp. RNAcentral describes it as "bacterial SSU rRNA". It matches the Rfam family "Bacterial small subunit ribosomal RNA", at positions 1042 to 1382 of the family's 1533-position model. The record is from RNAcentral. Lineage: Bacteria; Bacillati; Bacillota; Clostridia; Eubacteriales; Oscillospiraceae.